This 376-nucleotide ribosomal RNA is filed under the name Porthidium yucatanicum. RNAcentral's name for it is "partial 16S ribosomal RNA". It matches the Rfam family "Bacterial large subunit ribosomal RNA", at positions 1997 to 2591 of the family's 2925-position model. Lineage: Eukaryota; Metazoa; Chordata; Lepidosauria; Squamata; Viperidae. The record is from RNAcentral.
AGGCAAAAUGAGAGCCCAACUGUCUCUNANAACAAAUCAAUNAGACUGAUCUCCUAGUACAAAAGCUAGAAUAUCAACAUAAGACCAGAASACCCUGUGAAGCUUAAACUAACCUAUCAAACCCAGUARUGACUACUUUCGGUUGGGGCGACCUUGGAAUAAAAAAGAACUUCCAAUANAUGACUCCAUCAUAAAACAAGGCUAACANGCCAAUACGAGACCCAGUAUAACUGAUAAUUGAAAUAAGUUACUCCAGGGAUAACAGCGCMRUCUUCUUUAAGAACCCAGAUGAAAAAGAAGGUUUACGACCUCGAUGUUGGACCAGGACAUCCCAGUGAUGCAGCCGUUACUAAAGGUUCGUUUGCUCAACGAUUAA